Molecule: ribosomal RNA, 1527 nt
Filed under: Salmonella enterica
Lineage: Bacteria; Pseudomonadati; Pseudomonadota; Gammaproteobacteria; Enterobacterales; Enterobacteriaceae
Also listed under: 1 other name
Description: bacterial SSU rRNA
Rfam family: Bacterial small subunit ribosomal RNA
Source: RNAcentral
UGAAGAGUUUGAUCAUGGCUCAGAUUGAACGCUGGCGGCAGGCCUAACACAUGCAAGUCGAACGGUAACAGGAAGCAGCUUGCUGCUUUGCUGACGAGUGGCGGACGGGUGAGUAAUGUCUGGGAAACUGCCUGAUGGAGGGGGAUAACUACUGGAAACGGUGGCUAAUACCGCAUAACGUCGCAAGACCAAAGAGGGGGACCUUCGGGCCUCUUGCCAUCAGAUGUGCCCAGAUGGGAUUAGCUUGUUGGUGAGGUAACGGCUCACCAAGGCGACGAUCCCUAGCUGGUCUGAGAGGAUGACCAGCCACACUGGAACUGAGACACGGUCCAGACUCCUACGGGAGGCAGCAGUGGGGAAUAUUGCACAAUGGGCGCAAGCCUGAUGCAGCCAUGCCGCGUGUAUGAAGAAGGCCUUCGGGUUGUAAAGUACUUUCAGCGGGGAGGAAGGUGUUGUGGUUAAUAACCGCAGCAAUUGACGUUACCCGCAGAAGAAGCACCGGCUAACUCCGUGCCAGCAGCCGCGGUAAUACGGAGGGUGCAAGCGUUAAUCGGAAUUACUGGGCGUAAAGCGCACGCAGGCGGUCUGUCAAGUCGGAUGUGAAAUCCCCGGGCUCAACCUGGGAACUGCAUUCGAAACUGGCAGGCUUGAGUCUUGUAGAGGGGGGUAGAAUUCCAGGUGUAGCGGUGAAAUGCGUAGAGAUCUGGAGGAAUACCGGUGGCGAAGGCGGCCCCCUGGACAAAGACUGACGCUCAGGUGCGAAAGCGUGGGGAGCAAACAGGAUUAGAUACCCUGGUAGUCCACGCCGUAAACGAUGUCUACUUGGAGGUUGUGCCCUUGAGGCGUGGCUUCCGGAGCUAACGCGUUAAGUAGACCGCCUGGGGAGUACGGCCGCAAGGUUAAAACUCAAAUGAAUUGACGGGGGCCCGCACAAGCGGUGGAGCAUGUGGUUUAAUUCGAUGCAACGCGAAGAACCUUACCUGGUCUUGACAUCCACAGAAGAAUCCAGAGAUGGAUUUGUGCCUUCGGGAACUGUGAGACAGGUGCUGCAUGGCUGUCGUCAGCUCGUGUUGUGAAAUGUUGGGUUAAGUCCCGCAACGAGCGCAACCCUUAUCCUUUGUUGCCAGCGGUUAGGCCGGGAACUCAAAGGAGACUGCCAGUGAUAAACUGGAGGAAGGUGGGGAUGACGUCAAGUCAUCAUGGCCCUUACGACCAGGGCUACACACGUGCUACAAUGGCGCAUACAAAGAGAAGCGACCUCGCGAGAGCAAGCGGACCUCAUAAAGUGCGUCGUAGUCCGGAUUGGAGUCUGCAACUCGACUCCAUGAAGUCGGAAUCGCUAGUAAUCGUGGAUCAGAAUGCCACGGUGAAUACGUUCCCGGGCCUUGUACACACCGCCCGUCACACCAUGGGAGUGGGUUGCAAAAGAAGUAGGUAGCUUAACCUUCGGGAGGGCGCUUACCACUUUGUGAUUCAUGACUGGGGUGAAGUCGUAACAAGGUAACCGUAGGGGAACCUGCGGUUGGA